RNAcentral lists this ribosomal RNA (627 nucleotides) under uncultured Verrucomicrobiota bacterium. RNAcentral describes it as "bacterial SSU rRNA". It matches the Rfam family "Bacterial small subunit ribosomal RNA", at positions 70 to 680 of the family's 1533-position model. The record is from RNAcentral. Lineage: Bacteria; Pseudomonadati; Verrucomicrobiota.
UUUGUUGUAGCAAUACGACGGAAGUUUUAGUGGCGAACGGGUGCGUAACACGUGGGCAAUUUGCCUUAAAGUGUGGGAUAGCUCGGCGAAAGCCGGAUUAAUACCGCAUGUGGCUACUGGAGACAUCUUCGGGACGCUAAAGGUGGCGCAAGCUACCGCUUUUUGAGGAGCCCGCGGCCUAUCAGCUUGUUGGUGAGGUAACGGCUCACCAAGGCGUUGACGGGUAGCUGGUCUGAGAGGACGACCAGCCACACUGGGACUGAGACACGGCCCAGACACCUACGGGUGGCAGCAGUCGAGAAUUUUUGACAAUGGGGGAAACCCUGAUCGAGCGACGCCGCGUGGAGGAUGAAGGUCUUCGGGUUGUAAACUCCUGUCAUUUGGGAACAAGGCGUGGGUAUUAACUGUGCACACGUUGAUAGUACCAGAAGAGGAAGAGACGGCUAACUCUGUGCCAGCAGCCGCGGUAAUACAGAGGUCUCAAGCGUUGUUCGGAUUCAUUGGGCGUAAAGGGUGUGUAGGUGGCGCGCUAAGUCGGGUGUGAAAUUUCGGAGCUUAACUCCGAAACUGCAUUCGAUACUGGCGUGCUUGAGGACUGGAGAGGAGACUGGAAUUCACGGUGUAGCA